ACGACCGUACCGCAAACCGACACUGGUGCGCGAGAUGAGUAUUCUAAGGCGCUUGAGAGAACUCAGGAGAAGGAACUCGGCAAAUUGACACCGUAACUUCGGAAGAAGGUGUGCCUUUAGUAGGUGAACCUGUACAAGGGGAGCCCAAUGAGGUUGCAAAAAAUCGGUGGCUGCGACUGUUUAAUAAAAACACAGCACUCUGCAAACACGAAAGUGGACGUAUAGGGUGUGACGCCUGCCCGGUGCUGGAAGAUUAAAUGAUGGGGUGCAAGCUCUUGAUUGAAGUCCCAGUAAACGGCGGCCGUAACUAUAACGGUCCUAAGGUAGCGAAAUUCCUUGUCGGGUAAGUUCCGACCUGCACGAAUGGCGUAACGAUGGCCACACUGUCUCCUCCUGAGACUCAGCGAAGUUGAAAUGUUUGUGAUGAUGCAAUCUCCCCGCGGAAAGACGGAAAGACCCCAAACCUUUACUGUAGCUUUGUAUUGGACUUUGAACAGAUCUGUGUAGGAUAGGUGGGAGGCUUUGAAGUGUGGUCGCUAGAUCGCAUGGAGCCAACGUUGAAAUACCACCCUGGUGUGUUUGAGGUUCUAACCUAGGCCCGUAAUCCGGGUCGGGGACAGUGCAUGGUAGGCAGUUUGACUGGGGCGGUCUCCUCCCAAAGCGUAACGGAGGAGUUCGAAGGUACGCUAGGUACGGUCGGACAUCGUGCUAAUAGUGCAAUGGCAUAAGCGUGCUUAACUGCGAGACUGACAAGUCGAGCAGAUGCGAAAGCAGGACAUAGUGAUCCGGUGGUUCUGUAUGGAAGGGCCAUCGCUCAACGGAUAAAAGGUACUCUGGGGAUGACAGGCUGAUACCGCCCAAGAGUUCAUAUCGACGGCGGUGUUUGGCACCUCGAUGUCGGCUCAUCUCAUCCUGGGGCUGUAGCCGGUCCCAAGGGUAUGGCUGUUCGCCAUUUAAAGAGGUAUGUGAGCUGGGUUUAAAACGUCGUGAGACAGUUUGGUCCCUAUCUUCCGUGGGCGCUGCAGAUUUGAGGAAGCCUGCUCCUAGUACGAGAGGACCGGAGUGGACACACCUCUGGUGUAUCGGUUGUCACGCCAGUGGCAUUGCCGAGUAGCUAUGUGUGGAAGAGAUAACCGCUGAAAGCAUCUAAGCGGGAAACUCGUUUCAAGAUGAGAUCUGCCGGGGCCUUGAGCCCCCUAAAGAGUCGUUCAAGACCAGGACGUUGAUAGGUCGGGUGUGGAAGCGCAGUAAUGCGUUAAGCUAACCGAUACUAAUUGCUCGUGCGGCUUGACCA
Molecule: ribosomal RNA, 1294 nt
Filed under: metagenome
Description: bacterial LSU rRNA
Rfam family: Bacterial large subunit ribosomal RNA
Source: RNAcentral